Molecule: long non-coding RNA, 731 nt
Filed under: Citrus maxima (pomelo)
Lineage: Eukaryota; Viridiplantae; Streptophyta; Magnoliopsida; Sapindales; Rutaceae
Description: long non-coding RNA (CMAX_LNC003601)
Source: RNAcentral
UCAGAACUAACUCCCGAACCAUCCACGGCAGAAGCAAUAUUUACACAAGCAGAAUUUCCUAAAAGGAGAUGGGAGAAAGCAAUAAAUGAAUAAAUCAAGACAAACUAAAUAGUGGCAAAUUACACAUCUUCGCCACUAAAUUGUAACAUCUUCGCAAGAGUGUCGGCCUAAGUCCAGAAAAAUGAACAGCAGGAAAAAAGCAAUUUAACUCAACUCAAGAAAGCCAUUGUCCAAACUAUUUGGGCUUCACUGCCUGAUGUUCUAAGUUAGAUAAGAAAAUCCAAUCUAUGAAUCCAUUAACAAUUCAAAGAUUUUGUUAAAGUCACUUCCUUUCUUUUCACAUUUCUGUUCUUGCUUUACAAAUCAUAAGAGCCAACUCAACUAGGGGAUAAGAGGAUCAUGUUUAUUCACAAUGCCACCACUCAGCUGACAGUAUACCCCAGGCAUCUCAGGGUAUAAGAAAAAGGACAUAGCCAUUGCACCUCCAACAACCUUCCUCCCCACCUCCCUAAUGAACAAAUAAAUAUAUAAAAGAAAAACACACACUUCAAAAAAGAAGAAAAAUUAUCCGAAACUUAAAUGACCUGAAAUCACAUGGUUGUUGUGGAAAGAACAUAGACGCAGUAUGCUUCAUAAAAACAAAUAAACAGAAAAUUCUUUGAUGGACAUCGGGUAAUGAUACAUAUGGAGCUACAAAUAAACAAUCUUGCAUGUGAACAAGAAACUUACUC